Molecule: long non-coding RNA, 542 nt
Filed under: Dromaius novaehollandiae (emu)
Lineage: Eukaryota; Metazoa; Chordata; Aves; Casuariiformes; Dromaiidae
Description: lncRNA (ENSDNVG00000012928.1)
Source: RNAcentral
UGAAAAUGAGCUGCAAGCCCGAGGUUGUGAUCUAUGUAAAUUAAAUGUAACCCUUCAGUAUCAGAAGAUAACUCCACUUGGGCCACUUAAGGACAAAAAACAAGGACAAAAAUGUGCCAAGGGUCCAUGCUGUAACACCAGAUUAAGGUGGCAUCCUCUCUGUACUGGGACUACAAGAGGAUCUCCUAGUCUGAUAAUUUUUGGUGAAAGCUACAGAGGUCUUCCUAUUUAGCAACCCUCAAAAGGCUGAGAGCCUGCCAUGCUGAAACAGCAUUUGCAGAUGUGAGGCCAACAGAAUGCUGCAGUGGCAGAAAGGCUUUGUCAACACCAGCAAAUCACUGUUUCUACCUCUGCAAGGUCAGCUUCAGAAGGGAACGUGUCUGAGACCACAGCUCUAAGACCGAAUACAGGAGGAAGUUACAACAGCCAAGUCUGGAGUUUGCAGCAUGGAUGGCAAGCGUCUCUGAUAACUGUGGAACUCAUUAAUUUACAACCAGGAGCACUUAUGCUGAAGACCAGUAUUAGCAUUUUAGUCCAGUGUG